CUUAUCAUUAUUUUUUUUUAAUUUAAUUUAAAAGCUGAUCUACACAGACAGUUUUGACGAAUUUAUUACAUAAAAUUUCACUUGUUCUAUUUUUAUUUUCUUUGCAUAACAAAUCCUAUAAACACAAAAAUAACGUAAAUAGCUCAAAAAUAUAAGGAACUAACUAAGAAAAGACGAGUGAAUUCAAAGUAAAAAUAUAUAUAAAUAUGAUCCGAUCAAAUACCCCUACACUUAAGUUUUGCUAGUCCUCGAGCAAAACAAAGAAAACAAGAACAAGAAGUAACAAGAAAAACAUUAGCUUCCCCCUAUGUGACCCUCAUAGAAUUUCAUUUGAGAACACAAAUCAACAAGAACCAUAGCUAGCACCAAACAAACUAAUCCAAGUUCAUCUUCCUUAUUCAAAUAUUAGCAGUAAU
This 416-nucleotide long non-coding RNA is filed under the name Malus domestica (apple). Its description in RNAcentral is "long non-coding RNA (MDOM_LNC015174)". Lineage: Eukaryota; Viridiplantae; Streptophyta; Magnoliopsida; Rosales; Rosaceae. The record is from RNAcentral.